GUGAAAUUGUUGAAAGGGAAACGAUUGAAGCCAGUCGUACCGUCGGGAAAUCAACCUUUCGACGCGAUCCCGUGAGCGCGUGGGAGUUUAAACCCCUGCGUUUUCAAGUUCCGUGUUCUUUUGGCGUACUUUCUCGUGUGGUAGGUUAACAUCAAUUUUGGCGGUCGUAAAAUGAUCGGAGGAAUGUGGCUUCGAUUUAUCGAAGUGUUAUAGACUCCGGCAGAUGCGAUUGCCGGGAUUGAGGAUUGCAACGAAUGCCUCUCGGGGCUAACCGCCUGAUCUCUAAUCGUCGCCUUGGUACCGGAAGCAUGCUUACGGUCUUCGAGGUUGAUGGUUACAAGGUUAGAACGGGAUAAAUUCGUUAAGGAUGUUGACGUAAUGGCUUUAAACGACCCGUCUUGAAACACGGACCAAGGAGUCUAACAUAUAUGCGAGUGUUUGGGUGACCAAACCCAUGCGCGUAAUGAAAGUAAUUUAGGUGGGAACACAUUUCGUGUGCACCAUCGACCGAUCAGGAUAUUUUUUGAUAGAUUUGAGUAAGAGCAUAUCUGUUGGGACCCGAAAGAUGGUGAACUAUGCCUGAAUAGGGUGAAGUCAGAGGAAACUCUGAUGGAGGCUCGUAGCGGUUCUGACGUGCAAAUCGAUCGUCAAAUUUGGGUAUAGGGGCGAAAGACUAAUCGAACCAUCUAGUAGCUGGUUCCUGCCGAAGUUUCCCUCAGGAUAGCAGAAACUCGAUAACAGUUUUAUGAGGUAAAGCGAAUGAUUAGAGG
This 770-nucleotide ribosomal RNA is filed under the name uncultured Glomeromycotina. RNAcentral's name for it is "LSU rRNA". It matches the Rfam family "Eukaryotic large subunit ribosomal RNA", at positions 399 to 1027 of the family's 3401-position model. The record is from RNAcentral. Lineage: Eukaryota; Fungi; Glomeromycota.